Molecule: long non-coding RNA, 2274 nt
Organism: Ictalurus punctatus (channel catfish)
Lineage: Eukaryota; Metazoa; Chordata; Actinopteri; Siluriformes; Ictaluridae
Source: Ensembl
CGACCUUUUGGUUUUCUAUAAUCCGCCACACUUACUUAGAUCAAAAGAUGCAGGCUAUUUGACGGUACCUCGAAUAGUGAAGGCUACAGCAGGGGGAAGAGCUUUCGCUUAUAGACCCCCACUGUUAUGGAACAGUCUUCCAGUUAGUGUUCGGGACUUAGACACAGUCUCAGUGUUUAAGUCUAGGCUUAAAACGUAUUUGUUUACUCAAACCUACCCUGACUAGACUUUCUAUUAUGCUAAUUCCCAGUCCUAAUAAUCUUUUCUCUCCCUCUCUCCUUCUGUCGAGCCACACACGAUUUUAUGGAGAUACUAGAGAUCCUGAUCCUUUCUGAUCUCCGGACCUGCUUGAUCCUUUUCGGAUGUCCUGCCUCUGGAUGAAGCUCAAAUCUACUCCAAUUCCAGACUGCUGGGACUACGGCUGCUUUUAAGGCCAUACGGACUUCAUAUAAGUCAAUAAUGAACUUUUUCACAAUAUCUGUUGUUACCCAGAUGAGGAUGGGUUCCCUUCUGAGUCUGGUUCCUCUCAAGGUUUCUUCCUCUUAAAACAUCUUAGGGAGUUUUUCCUUGCCACCGUCGCCACUCAGUGGCUUGCUCAGCUGGGAUAAAUUCAAACCUUUAAUAUCUGUAUACUGUGUUGAUAUUUCUGUAAAGCUGCUUUGAGACAAUGUCUCAAUGUAUUGUAAAAAGCGCUAUACAAAUAAAAUUGAAUUAAAAUUUUUAUUGAAUUCCUGUGACUGAGCAAUAUUUCUAUGUGGAAAUAUGCAUCUUUUAGAACUAUAUUGGCAAUAAUACAAUACAAUAAUACUUGGGCUAACUGCCCUAAGAACCUCACAUCCCCUGAUACCUCCCUCAGUGACCCAUCAUAACUGCUCCUUCUUUGCCUGCAUGGCAUUGAGCACCAUUCUUAGAUCAGGCCUACUAGCAGGCUGCAACUGGGGGAAGCAGGCCACUACACUCACUUUCUGUACCUCCCUCACACUAGUACUGGGUGAACUCAACACCAAGGGGUACAGAACUGGCUGAACAUCAGCAUUUGCUGUUUCACAAAUACCUACUUUCAGUCAGAGAUUACCAUUCGUUUAUGCUAAAGAACAACAGAAUUUUGGGCACGUUUUUGAGCACGAAGGAAGCUCUACAUAGCAGAGGAUGGUUUCGAUCCAUCGACCUCUGGGUUAUGGGCCCAGCACGCUUCCGCUGCGCCACCCUGCUCGAUGCCAUUAUCAUUUGGGCCGAGAAUUCACAUUCCCUGGCUUUAGCGGUAAGUGCCUCAUCCAUUAGGCCACUGGGAUUCGGGAUUCAAACGACUAGCAUCAAGAGUACUAAUACUCAUCUUCACAUAAACCAAUGGAUUCUUGGUUAUCUUUCAGUUGGGGCAUGAAGCAGACAGGUCUCCUAAAUACAGGAUUUGUCUGCUACACAACUGCACUGACCACAAGCAGACCCUAAAAUCAAAAUGCCUUGGAGAGAGCCCUACUUUCAGUCAGAGAUUACCAUUCGUUUAUGCUAAAGAACAACAGAAUUUUGGGCACGUUUUUGAGCACAAAGGAAGCUCUACAUAGCAGAGGAUGGUUUCGAUCCAUCGACCUCUGGGUUAGGGGCCCAGCACGAUUCCGCUGCGCCACCCUGCUCGAUGCCAUUAUCAUUUGGGCCGAGAAUUCACAUUCCCUGGCUUUAGCGGUAAGUGCCUCAUCCAUUAGGCCACUGGGAUUCGGGAUUCAAACGACUAGCAUCAAGAGUACUAAUACUCAUCUUCACAGUAAACCAAUGGAUUCUUGGUUAUCUUUCAGUUGGGGCAUGAAGCAGACAGGUCUCCUAAAUACAGGAUUUGUCUGCUACACAACUGCACUGACCACAAGCAGACCCUAAAAUCAAAAUGCCUUGGAGAGAGCCCUACUUUCAGUCAGAGAUUACCAUUCGUUUAUGCUAAAGAACAACAGAAUUUUGGGCAUGUUUUUAAGCACAAAGGGAAGCUCUACAUAGCAGAGGAUGGUUUCGAUCCAUCGACCUCUGGGUUAUGGGCCCAGCACGCUUCCGCUGCGCCACCCUGCUCAAUGGUAAGUUUAUAGUUUAUAAGUUUGUCGUCCCAGAAGGAAGCCUCUUCUAAAGAUGAUGCACAAGAAAUCCCGCAAACAGUUUGCUGAAGACAAGCAGACUAAGGACAUGGAUUACUGGAACCAUGUCCUGUGAUCUGAUGAGACCAAGAUAAACUUAUUUGGUUCAGAUGGUUUCAAGCGUGUGUGGCAGCAACCACAUUUUUGUGUUGAUUUUGAU